Molecule: ribosomal RNA, 254 nt
Filed under: uncultured bacterium
Lineage: Bacteria
Description: partial 16S ribosomal RNA
Rfam family: Bacterial small subunit ribosomal RNA
Source: RNAcentral
GACGAACCGUGCGAAUGUUAUUCGGAAUCAUUGGGCUUAAAGCGCGUGUAGGCGGGUUCGUGCGUCUGUCGCUGAAAUCCCCCGGCUCAACCGGGGAACGGGCGCGGAUACGACGAGCCUGGAGGGGCAUAGGGGGACCUGGAACUUCCGGUGGAGCGGUGAAAUGCGUUGAGAUCGGAAGGAACGCCCGUGGCGAAAGCGAGGUCCUGGAUGCCUACUGACGCUGAGACGCGAAAGCCAGGGGAGCGAACGGG